RNAcentral lists this ribosomal RNA (512 nucleotides) under uncultured bacterium. Its description in RNAcentral is "bacterial SSU rRNA". It matches the Rfam family "Bacterial small subunit ribosomal RNA", at positions 128 to 674 of the family's 1533-position model. The record is from RNAcentral.
ACCCUUUUCUACGGAAUAGCUCUGGGAAACUGGAAUUAAUACCGUAUACGCCCUACGGGGGAAAGAUUUAUCGGGGAAGGAUUGGCCCGCGUUGGAUUAGCUAGUUGGUGGGGUAAAGGCCUACCAAGGCGACGAUCCAUAGCUGGUCUGAGAGGAUGAUCAGCCACAUUGGGACUGAGACACGGCCCAAACUCCUACGGGAGGCAGCAGUGGGGAAUAUUGGACAAUGGGCGCAAGCCUGAUCCAGCCAUGCCGCGUGAGUGAUGAAGGCCUUAGGGUUGUAAAGCUCUUUCACCGAUGAAGAUAAUGACGGUAGUCGGAGAAGAAGCCCCGGCUAACUUCGUGCCAGCAGCCGCGGUGAUACGAAGGGGGCUAGCGUUGUUCGGAAUUACUGGGCGUAAAGCGCACGUAGGCGGAUAUUUAAGUCAGGGGUGAAAUCCCAGAGCUCAACUCUGGAACUGCCUUUGAUACUGGGUAUCUUGAGUAUGGAAGAGGUAAGUGGAAUUGCGAGU